UACGUAGGGGGCGAGCGUUGUCCGGAAUUAUUGGGCGUAAAGCGCACGCAGGCGGUUCGCUAAGUUCGAGGUGACAAUCACCGGCUUAACCGGUGAACGAUUUCGAAAACUGGCGGACUUGAGAGCGAGAGAGGGACAUGGAACUCCGGGUGGAGCGGUGAAAUGCGUAGAGAUCCGGAAGAACACCAAUAGCGAAGGCAGCGUCCUGGCUCGUAUCUGACGCUGAGGUGCGAAAGCUAGGGGAGCGAACGGG
RNAcentral lists this ribosomal RNA (253 nucleotides) under uncultured bacterium. RNAcentral's name for it is "partial 16S ribosomal RNA". It matches the Rfam family "Bacterial small subunit ribosomal RNA", at positions 524 to 776 of the family's 1533-position model. The record is from RNAcentral.